ACGCACGUUGGCGGCGUGCUUAACCCAUGCAAGUCGAACGGUGAAGCGCCUUCCUUUUUGGUGGGUGUGGAUGAGUGGCGAACGGGUGAGUAACACGUGAGUAACCUGCCCCCUUCUUCUGGAUAACCGCAUGAAAGUGUGGCUAAUACGGGAUAUUCUGGGUCUGUCGCAUGAUGGGUCUGGGAAAGAUAUUGUUUCGGUGGGGGAUGGGCUCGCGGCCUAUCAGCUUGUUGGUGGGGUGAUGGCCUACCAAGGCGGUGACGGGUAGCCGGCCUGAGAGGGUGGACGGUCACACUGGGACUGAGACACGGCCCAGACUCCUACGGGAGGCAGCAGUGGGGAAUAGUGCACAAUGGGCGCAAGCCUGAUGCAGCGACGCCGCGUGAGGGAUGGAGGCCUGCGGGUUGUGAACCUCUUUCGCCAGUGAAGCAGGCCUGCCUCGUUUGUGGGUGGGUUGACGGUAGCUGGAUAAGAAGCGCCGGCUAACUACGUG
RNAcentral lists this ribosomal RNA (493 nucleotides) under uncultured bacterium. Its description in RNAcentral is "partial 16S ribosomal RNA". It matches the Rfam family "Bacterial small subunit ribosomal RNA", at positions 29 to 507 of the family's 1533-position model. The record is from RNAcentral.